UGGGGAAUUUUGGACAAUGGGCGAAAGCCUGAUCCAGCAAUGCCGCGUGUGUGAAGAAGGCCUUCGGGUUGUAAAGCACUUUUGUCCGGAAAGAAAUCCUUGGCUCUAAUACAGUCGGGGGAUGACGGUACCGGAAGAAUAAGCACCGGCUAACUACGUGCCAGCAGCCGCGGUAAUACGUAGGGUGCAAGCGUUAAUCGGAAUUACUGGGCGUAAAGCGUGCGCAGGCGGUUUGCUAAGACCGAUGUGAAAUCCCCGGGCUCAACCUGGGAACUGCAUUGGUGACUGGCAGGCUAGAGUAUGGCAGAGGGGGGUAGAAUUCCACGUGUAGCAGUGAAAUGCGUAGAGAUGUGGAGGAAUACCGAUGGCGAAGGCAGCCCCCUGGGCCAAUACUGACGCUCAUGCACGAAAGCGUGGGGAGCAAACAGGAUUAGAUACCCUGGUAGUCCACGCCCUAAACGAUGUCAACUAGUUGUUGGGGACUUCAUUUCCUUAGUAACGUAGCUAACGCGUGAAGUUGACCGCCUGGGGAGUACGGUCGCAAGAUUAAACUC
Molecule: ribosomal RNA, 554 nt
Filed under: uncultured bacterium
Lineage: Bacteria
Description: partial 16S ribosomal RNA
Rfam family: Bacterial small subunit ribosomal RNA
Source: RNAcentral